RNAcentral lists this ribosomal RNA (253 nucleotides) under uncultured bacterium. RNAcentral describes it as "partial 16S ribosomal RNA". It matches the Rfam family "Bacterial small subunit ribosomal RNA", at positions 524 to 776 of the family's 1533-position model. The record is from RNAcentral.
UACGUAGGGUGCAAGCGUUGUCCGGAAUUAUUGGGCGUAAAGAGCUCGUAGGCGGUUCGUCGCGUCGGCUGUGAAAACCCGGAGCUCAACUCCGGGCCUGCAGUCGAUACGGGCGGACUUGAGUGUUGCAGGGGAGACUGGAAUUCCUGGUGUAGCGGUGAAAUGCGCAGAUAUCAGGAGGAACACCCGUAGCGAAGGCGGUUCUCUGGGCCUGUACUGACGCUGAGGAGCGAAAGCGUGGGGAGCGAACAGG